This 690-nucleotide ribosomal RNA is filed under the name Gyrodinium sp. 2 AR-2015. RNAcentral's name for it is "LSU rRNA". It matches the Rfam family "Eukaryotic large subunit ribosomal RNA", at positions 77 to 661 of the family's 3401-position model. The record is from RNAcentral. Lineage: Eukaryota; Dinophyceae; Gymnodiniales; Gymnodiniaceae.
CCCNCANUAAUGGCGAAUGAACAGGGAUGAGCUCAGCAUCGAAAUUGGGGCUUCUGGCCUUGACUUGUAGUUUCGAGUAGCUCCACCAACGGAGGCGCAGAUGUAAGCCUCUUGGAAAAGAGCAUCAACGAGGGCGAGAGUCCCGUUUGUCAUUUGCAGUCCCCCGUGUACGGUGUGCCUACUAAGAGUCACGUUCCUCGGGAUUGGAGCGCAAAGCGGGUGGUAAAUUUCAUCCAAAGCUAAAUAUAGGUUCGAGACCGAUAGCAAACAAGUACCAUGAGGGAAAGAUGAAAAGGACUUUGGAAAGAGAGUUAAAAGUGCCUGAAAUUGCUGAAAGGGAAGCGAAUGGAACCAGUGUAUCUUGGUGAGAUUGUUGCGUGCUAAAGUGAGUGUGUGCUGCAUCAACGCAAGUGGUGUGGUGUGCUCUAAUCUGGAUGUGCGUGGUGCUUCUUGCCUUGCGUGUCAACGUCAGUUUGGAGUUGAGGAAAACUCAAGGGACAUGGUAGCUCGCUNACGGGUGAUCGAAAGUGCCUUGUAGAACUCAUCACUGGACUGAAUAUGGUGUGUCUUGGUGCAUUGCCUCAGGGCCUCAUCAACCCGAGCAUUUCGCUUGUGGCUGGUUUGAUUCCUGUUGCAACCCUUGNCAUGAAUAUGAUGACAAAAUGGUUUCACUCGACCCGUCUUGAAACA